Setaria italica (foxtail millet) is the source of this 3656-nucleotide long non-coding RNA. RefSeq lists it as uncharacterized. The transcript has 5 exons. The record is from RefSeq and is a predicted model, not a curated record. Lineage: Eukaryota; Viridiplantae; Streptophyta; Magnoliopsida; Poales; Poaceae.
UCCAAUCCGCCGAUCUCCACCAACUCCAUCCGUCAAAACACUGUAGCGCCAAUCGGUCGAUCUCCAACUGUAGCACCAAACGGCCGAUUCCCAAUCGUGGCCUUUUAACCUACUGCUUCGGCCAAUUCUUUCUUUCCUUUGACACCGAUUCCAUAUGUGUCAAAAUCUGGCGUCAACACAUGCCCCCCAGUUUCGGAGCAAAACAUGACUUUUACUUUGAAAUUCCUUUUCAACUUCUCCUCUGAAACAAACGCAGCACAAAUCUUCUUUCGUUUCGUGGUCUUCUACCUAAUGAUUGCAAUCUUUUUGAAACGGGCGCCUGAGACAACCGCUCCCUGGAAAUUCGUGUAGACGGCGCGGUAAAAAUCCUGCCUUUACCCGUCUCGGACCGCCUUUAAAUACUGGCAUACCCCGUACUUCUUCUUCACAAGCCAGUAACUUCCUUUCCGGCGCAUCAGUUCCCAUCUUCUUCCGGCGCCCUUUCGGCUUCCAACCGCAUCCUCCGGCGAUCCCCCUUUCAUCCGCAUUCUGCUUCAUCUUCCCAAUGGCGGCACCGUCAGCAACCCCACCAGCAACGGAGACUCCACCAGCAGCUCCAACGGCGGCGGCAGCAGCUCCAUCGGCGACGGAGGCUCCACCGGCGGCUUCAUCAAUGGCGGCAGCUCCACUAGCAGCUCCGUCGGUGACGAUGACUUUCAUCCCAGAGGCUCUUAUCCGGAACUUUUCUUUUUACUUUUACCAUCCACGCAUUUGUUUUAGACCCAUUCUUAGUUCUUCCCAUUUUACCUUUUUUACGUGGUCAGACACCAAAUCACCAUUCGCCUUUCUGAAGCCCCUGGCCUCAUCUGUCUAGGUCCCAUGGGGAAUCCAGACCCAAUUGAUCUGAUAAAUUUAGAGACUCACAGAAUCCCGUUUAAACAAUCACCAAUGAACUCGAACCAGUGGUCGGGCACCUUUAGAUCUUGGCCGAAUGAAACCCCCGGUUGGAAAGAGUGGUACCAAAGGAUAGCCAACUCCAAGAGAGUUCAAUGGGACGAGCGAAAAAUCAGCUAGUGCAUCAAUCUUUCUCUGUCUCAGAUGGAGAGAAAUGAGCCCUUUGUGAUGGCAGCCUCCUACUUCUGGUCCGACGCUCUCAAUGCGUUCCUUUUUGGACAUGGACCCGUGACCCCGACUUUGGCCGAUGUUGUGAUGUUGACCGGCCUUGACAUUUCUUCCCCCGAUACUCCCUUCCAUUAUCUGGUCAAGCUGACCCAUCGACUGGAGACAAAAGGAAUCGGCGGGUGGAAGAGGUACAUUAAAAACAACAUGAAGACCGGGACAGUUUCCGAGAGAGAAUACGCGGCCUUCUUAAUGAUGUGGCUGGAGAAACAUCUUUUCUGCGGCAGGGCAGUCGGUCCAUCUUCCAAUACACAAGCUCUGGCCGAAGCACUAUCAAGAGGAGCCUCCGCCCCCCUCGGGAAGCAUCUACUAGGAUCGGCCUAUCAUAUGUUGCACCAAAUCAGCGUCAAACUAUCAAAGAGAGAGCCGAUUGGAAACCCAGGUGGCCCCUGGUGGUUCAUCAAUCUCUGGCUCAAUUUGUAUAUGAGCAAGAUCUCACAGCAUCGGGUGGAACACAUGACAUUCCCCAAUAUUGAGUCAGAAGAAAACCCCACCGUACGACGCCGAUGCACCUCUUUCGGUGAAGCAGCAUCAGUCUUCCCUGGUUGCCAGCUCACCGCCACCAAAGUAGCCGAAUACUUCAGAUAUUUUUACAACGGCUUCAUUGAAGAAACCACCAGCUAGUACCCGUAUCAGAGGAUAGAGCCGCCUUUUGAGCUCCCGUUCUGUUAUGAUUCAACGUCCAACACCUUUGACAACGAUCUCAUGGACGUCUUGAUCAAGCCAGGGAUCUUACCAGCGAACUUUUUCUUGGGGAAGGAUGCCCCUACUUACGAGUUUUACAACCCAUCAGUUGCAGCACGACAGUUCGGCCUAGGUCAGCUGCCGAUUCGAGUCUACUUCGCCGGUCGCGUGAAAUUCUGAGACGAGCUCACCAAGGGCCUUGACUAUAGUCGGCUGUGCGACCGAGUGCCUGAUUUCAGCACCAUCGAUUUGAACAACUGGAUAGUAGCUCCUUUUGCUGUCCAACCAUUCAAAUUAUGGUGGGCAGAAUGGAAGCAGCACCUAUUUUUUGUGUCUCCCACGACAUAUUGCAAUGAUCUGGAUCCUGAGAACAUCGAUCCGAAUGCAGCGUCCGAGAGUCGACUUCCUCCAACGCGCAGCCAGAGUGGCAGGCCAAUAGAGAAUCGCUACCCAUAUACGGAAUUUGCACUCAUCGGCCAUCAUGCCCCAUCCAUUGAUGACAUCACCACCGGCCGACUGAAACAGGCGUCGAAGAAAACCUCAAAGAAGACAAGCCACCGAGUGUGCGCCCGCACGGAAUCGGCCGAUCAGUCGGUGGCGGCAUCGGCGGAAUCUUUGGCAGCACCAAUUCUCCCGGUCAUCGAGGAAGUUGACCCCCAAGCUGCUACGGAGGCUGGAGCGGCCACUGCAUCAUUGCUACUAGAAGCCAUUCAAGUAACCUCAUGUUCACAUCCUCCUGAGUAUUCUCCUAUACUGACUUCUUAUUUAUAUUAGGCUGCACAAGUUGCCUGGUGCCUCCGCAGCAAUCGGCCACGCCCCAAGCAGAAAUUGGAGUGCCAGUAAUUCCUCCCACCGAGGCUACCCUUGGUACGUCAAUUGUACCUUUUCAACAGCCAUCGGUCAGGGAACCCACGGAGGAGGCCGGUCCGAGUAGGACACCAAUAAUCAUCGAAUCCUCCUCCUCUGAUGAGCUGGUCGCACGAGUUCCUGAACUAAGGGCAGCACUCCCGCCGAUGCAAGCAGAAGAAAUCCGCUUCAAAGAGGAACAAGAUACUCCCAACAAUAGCCUUUUCUCUUUCGCGGUCGCGCUUUCUGAUGAUGAGGAGGUUGCUUCACGUCAGGUCACUCUGAGCUCAAUCCCCGAUGAUGUCCGUGCCAAACCUUAGAGCAUACGGACCCUCCUCCAAGAAGAUAUCGGCCGAUUGGUGGAGGACGCCUCGCCGAUUCGGUAGCUCUUCAGUGAUAUUAGCGGCCGAGUCCCAGAAGAGGUGGAAGAACCCCUGGCGCCCGCCGCAUACAUUGAGUCAAUGCGGAUCCCAAUGUUCAGGGCUUUGCGCCACAUGGCCGAUCGCGCCAAGCUAGCUAAAGCUCGUGAAGAGGAAGAUUCUUACAAACACCGAGCCCAAGAGGUACAUCACCAAAUCCACUUCCUUGAAAGUUCCCGCCCGGGUAUUGUUGGUGCUAUAAACCGCCUCAAGCGCCGAAGAGCAGAGCUCGCCAAGGAGAUGGAGCAGGUGACCAAGGACAUAGCCAUUGAGGAGAAAAAACUCCAAGACCUCCCUUCUGUUAUCGCCGAGCUAAAGCAAGAGAGCCAGAGCCUAGCCCACGAAGCGAUCAAGCUCCAUCACCAUAUGCCAAAAGUCCCUGGAUCGGCCGACGACGACCAGCGAACUUUAGACUCGGCUGAUCAGGUUAGGCAGCGAGCGAUUGCGGCUAUUAAUGCCCUCCUUGGAUGAAUUGUAAAAGUACUGGCCGCUCUGUAAAAACAUUAAUGUCUUUUGACGGUUGACGUGCGGAUCCAAUCCUGAUCCAUC